Long non-coding RNA from Glycine soja, 1068 nucleotides. RefSeq lists it as uncharacterized. The record is from RefSeq and is a predicted model, not a curated record. The transcript has 2 exons. NCBI's taxonomy places the organism in Eukaryota, Viridiplantae, Streptophyta, Magnoliopsida, Fabales, Fabaceae.
UGAUGGUUUCAAAAGAACAAAAAGUAUGGCAUUUUUUAUUCUUUUUUGUAAUAACUAUGGUAAUAACUAUGGAAAACACCAUUUCAACAUAUAGCAUGUCAAUCUACAACUUAAAAUGAACUUAAGUAUCUUUGACCAAGGAAACAACAACAACAACAAAGCCUUAUCCCACCAGGUGAGAUCAGCUACAUGGAUCACAUGACGCCAUUCGGCAUCGCUAAAAAUCAAAGUUUCAGAAAUAUUAUAAGUCUAAGAUAUCCAACUUUUGGAUUUGUUAUUUCCUUUAGCAAAGAUAUCACUUCCGUAACUUUUUUCCUUCAAAACUUCUCAUCCAUCAUUGGCCAGCCUUAGUGUGUAUCAGGGAAUUGGUGAAAUUUGCUUACUCCCGGGUAUGGCCAGCCUAUACAAGUGUUUUCCCACACCUAGAGGUCUUGGGUAGUUAUCUCCCAAUUGCAAAGCGUAGUGGGGCAAGUGGGGAGCAUAUAGUGGACAAUUGUAAGUGUUAUGCACGUUAUGGAUAUGAUUUAAACAUAAAUGCUAAAAUAUAACGCAUAACAAGUGAUAGGAGUUGGAUUGAGCCUGUGGUAGACAACUAUAUAAUAAAUAAUGUCUGGUGGCAAUUUUCAAAUUGUAGAGCUGACUAAACUAUAUUUAGAAUAAAAUAUCAUCAUAGUUGAUCCACACAAUUCCACUAUUAGGCACAAUGAAUCAAACAAUUAAAAUUUGAGUAACUACAUGCAAAACUUAACUUCAAAAGUCAAUGAUAACUAUCUGGCAUUUCUACAAACACUUCCGAUGAAAUAUACAUAUAUAGUUUGAGUUCAGUAUCAGACUUCAGAUGCAUGACAAAGGGCUCAAUAUUAUUUCUGGCAAAAAAGUUAGGUUGCUAUCUGGGCUAUGGCAGAUUAAUUGUUCGUGCUUUUGAAACACAAAUAUCAUCAAUGCUAUUGCAGGACAGUUGAAUUUCAAACCAAACCUCUGUGCUCAUCGGAAGCAUCAUGAUACACCUCAUGCUCCUCCUCCGGCACAGGCGGAAGCUCCACCGGUUCCCCAACCUGCACAACAAGA